CCAAUAGCGUAUAUUAAAGUUGCUGCAGUUAAAAAGCUCGUAGUUGAAUUUCGGGACCGAUAUGUCGGUCGUGCCUCGGUACGUACUGGUAUUUUCGGUUUCUCCCUUCUGACGAACCUUGAUGUCAUUAAUUUGGUGUCUUGGGGAAUCAGGACUGUUACUUUGAAAAAAUUAGAGUGUUUAAAGCAGGCUCACGCUUGAAUACAUUAGCAUGGAAUAA
This 220-nucleotide ribosomal RNA is filed under the name uncultured Glomus. RNAcentral describes it as "partial small subunit ribosomal RNA". It matches the Rfam family "Eukaryotic small subunit ribosomal RNA", at positions 591 to 817 of the family's 1831-position model. Lineage: Eukaryota; Fungi; Glomeromycota; Glomeromycetes; Glomerales; Glomeraceae. The record is from RNAcentral.